RNAcentral lists this unclassified non-coding RNA (696 nucleotides) under uncultured Thelephoraceae. RNAcentral's name for it is "sequence contains ITS1, 5.8S rRNA gene, ITS2". The stretch from base 213 to 367 matches the Rfam family "5.8S ribosomal RNA". The record is from RNAcentral. Lineage: Eukaryota; Fungi; Basidiomycota; Agaricomycetes; Thelephorales; Thelephoraceae.
GGAAGGAUCAUUACCGAACUGUCGACACGAGUUGUUGCUGGUUCCCAAAUGGGGGCAUGUGCACGCUCUGUUCACACAUCCACUCACACCUGUGCACCUUCUGUAGUUCUAUGGGCUGGGGACCCUGUCCUCCUUCUGUAGCUCUAUGUCUUUACACACACACUGCAAUAAAGUCUUGUGGAAUGUAUGCCGCGUUUAACGCAAUACAAUACAACUUUCAGCAACGGAUCUCUUGGCUCUCGCAUCGAUGAAGAACGCAGCGAAAUGCGAUAAGUAAUGUGAAUUGCAGAAUUCAGUGAAUCAUCGAAUCUUUGAACGCACCUUGCGCCCCUUGGUUAUUCCGAAGGGCAUGCCUGUUUGAGUAUCAUGAACACCUCAACUCUUGUGGUUUCCCACAAUGAGCUUGGACCAUGGAGGUUUUUGUUGGCCCUCUGGUCAGCUCCUCUCAAAUGGAUCAGCUUACCGGUGUUUGGUGGCAUCAUGGGUGUGAUAACUAUCUACGCUUGUGGUCGUCUCCAAAUAACCUCCAGUGAUGGAGGUUCACUGGAGCUUAUAAACGUCUCUCCCCAGUGAAGACAGCCUUUGAACGUUCGAUCUCAAAUCAGGUAGGACUACCCGCUGAACUUAAGCAUAUCAAUAAGCGGAGGAAAAGAAACUAACAAGGAUUCCCCUAGUAACUGCGAGUGAAGCGGGAAG